This 484-nucleotide ribosomal RNA is filed under the name uncultured bacterium. RNAcentral describes it as "partial 16S ribosomal RNA". It matches the Rfam family "Bacterial small subunit ribosomal RNA", at positions 29 to 507 of the family's 1533-position model. The record is from RNAcentral.
AUUGAACGCUGGCGGCAGGCCUAACACAUGCAAGUCGAGCGGAUGAAGGGAGCUUGCUCCUGGAUUCAGCGGCGGACGGGUGAGUAAUGCCUAGGAAUCUGCCUGGUAGUGGGGGAUAACGUCCGGAAACGGGCGCUAAUACCUCAUACGUCCUGAGGGAGAAAGUGGGGGAUCUUCGGACCUCACGCUAUCAGAUGAGCCUAGGCCGGAUUAGCUAGUUGGUGGGGUAAAGGCCUACCAAGGCGACGAUCCGUAACUGGUCUGAGAGGAUGAUCAGUAACACUGGAACUGGACAAGGGUCCAGACUCCUAGGGGAGGAACAGGUGGGGAAUAUUCGACAAUGGGGGAAGGCCUAAUGCAGAACUGCCGGGUGUGGGAAGAAGGUCUCCGGAUGGAAAAGCACGUUAAGCUGGGAGGAAGGGCAGUAAGUUAAUACCUUGAUGUAUUGACGUUACCAAAAGAAAAAGCACCGGCUAACUACGUG